RNAcentral lists this long non-coding RNA (3186 nucleotides) under Eucalyptus grandis. Its description in RNAcentral is "long non-coding RNA (EGRA_LNC006501)". Lineage: Eukaryota; Viridiplantae; Streptophyta; Magnoliopsida; Myrtales; Myrtaceae. The record is from RNAcentral.
AUCUAGCUCACCCUUAUAUCCCUGCACACUUUUUUCCUUCUGAAGAAUCUUCUCUUUUGAGUUCUCAGGAGAGGAGCUGCAGAAGGGGAAAUGGCUGCCGCAACCGCAUCUCCCAUGGCCACUCAGCUCAAGAGCAGCUUUGCCUCGUCGUCGUCGUCCUCGGCCAGGAGCCUGAUUGCCCCCAAGGGCCUCUCUGGUUCCUCCUUCAGAGCCUUGCCCACCAGGAGGACUCACUCCUUCACUGUCAAGGCUAUCCAAUCCGAGAAGGUGAGUCUUCUCGCGUCCAUCCUGCUUUGUGUAUUACGAGUCACGAUUCGAUCGGACGUGCUUGUGCAGCGUAAAAUUCAAUGAAUUGGUCUUUCAAACAUCUUUAUGUUAUUCUCUAGUCAUCUGACUUGUUUAGCUAGUCUUGGAAGAAGAAAAUGAGACUUGAAGAUAAUGAGUGGAAGUUCUUCUCUUCCACCAUUCAGUCUAGUUUCUCAUUCUUGGUUCACCCUUCUUAGUCUUUUGGAUCUGUGUAUAUAGAAGAAUAAUUUCACAUGGCAUAGGGUUGCAAGAAGCUAGUCUUUCUGUAUUUGAACUGAUUGAGCUAAUCCGAGUGUAAAGGUCACCGUGAUUGGAUUUCCGCUGUGUGAUUUUUUCUGUCAGCAGUAAUUUUUUGUAGCUUGCUAAAAGAGCCAACUAAGAGAUUAUAGCUUCCAAUAUAGAAGGGGGAGGUGGGGGAUUUAAUCCCCCACUUUCUCGAGAGGGUGAGAUGGGGACGAUUUAGUUUCAAGUGUGGGUUUUGAUUUUCAUGUAAGGAGGUAGGAUAAAAAUCUAAAAAUGAUUAGUUUCAAGUGUGGGUUUUGAUUUUCACGUAAGGAGGUAGGAUAAAAAUCUAAAAAUGAGAAUUAGAGUAGAAGUAGAGUAUGAUUAAUUAGAAAAAAAAAAAAAACCUUAGAGAUUAUAGCAUGUUAUCAUUCAUUUGUGAAUACAUAUUCUCUGAGUGGCUCCAUUCACUCGUUACAUUAGUUGAUGGGUUUCAAUUCCUGCAUCUACCUUCGCAUGCAGCCAACCUUCCAAGUGGUUCAACCCCUCAAUGGUGACCCUUUCAUUGGAAGCCUCGAGACUCCGGUCACAUCCAGCCCGCUCAUUGCAUGGUACCUCUCCAACCUCCCCGCCUACAGGACUGCCGUGAACCCGCUCCUCCGAGGCGUCGAGGUGGGCCUCGCCCACGGAUUCCUCUUGGUGGGCCCUUUCGUCAGGCCGGCCCUUUGAGACACGAGUAUGCAGAGCAGCAGAUCAUUGGCCGCCGAGCCUGUGUGAUCCUGAGCAUCUGCUUGANNNNNNNNNNNNNNNNNNNNNNNNNNNNNNNNNNNNNNNNNNNNNNNNNNNNNNNNNNNNNNNNNNNNNNNNNNNNNNNNNNNNNNNNNNNNNNNNNNNNGUGUGGGGGUUGUUUUCCAAACAUUGUGGAUGUUUUCCCCCAACGCAAUGGCAGUUCAAAACAUGACGUGAAAGUGGGUAAAAGUCGUGAUUUCUGACUGAUGCAUUAUUGGGUGUCUUGGCUUGGCCAUGAGGGCCUUUUGCCGAAGUGGAUAAGAUGGGAUAAGGUCACGGCCACCAUCCAACCAAUCAAGCCCCUCCAACCUUACACUUCACUCCUCUCCGACCACAAGAUUUCAUGCAAUAGAUCCUCUCACCCUGCUCCCAAAAUCUAACUCAACCCUCUUCUCCGUUAUAUACCUGCACGCUUUUUUCCUCCCGAAGAAUCUUCUCCUCUUUUUGAGUUGUCAGGAGAGGAGCUGCAGAAGGGAAAAUGGCUGCCGCAACCGCAUCUCCCAUGGCCAGUCAGCUCAAGAGCAGCUUUGCAUCAUCAUCGUCCAGGAGCCUGAUUGCUCCCAAGGGCCUCUCUGGUUCCUCCUUCAGAGCCUUGCCCACCAGGAGGACUCGCUCCUUCACUGUCAAGGCUAUCCAAUCCGAGAAGGUGAGUCUUCUCGCGUCCAUCCUGCCUUGUGUAUCACGAGUCACGAUUCGAUCGAACGUGCUUGUGCCGCGUAAAAUCAAGGAAUUGGUCUUUCAGACAUCUUUAUGUUAUUCUCUAGUCAUCUGACUUGUUUAGCUAGUCUUGGAAGAAGAAAAUGAGACUUGAAGAUAAUGAGUGGAAGUGCCUUCUCUUCCACCAUUCAGUCUAGUUUCUCAUUCUUGGUUCACCCUUCUUAGUCCUUUGGAUCUGUGUAUAUAGAAGAAUAAUUUCACAUGGCAUAGGGUUGCAAGAAGCUGGUCUUUUUGUAUUUGAACUGAUUGAGCUAAUCCGAGAGUAAAGGUCACCGUGAUUGGAUUUCUGCUGUGUGAUUUUUUCUGUAGUGAUAAUUUUUUGUAGCUUGCUAAAAGAGUCAACUAAGAGAUUAUAGCUUCCAAUAUGGAAGAGGGGUGAGGGGUUCGAAUCUCACUUCUUUAUCGAGAAGGUGAGAUGGGAACGAUUUAGUUUCAAAUAUAAGUUUUGAUCUCAUGCCCUUGCAAGAAAGCGAGACAAAAGUCUGAGAGUGAAUUAGAGUAGGAGUAGAGUAGGAUCGACAAAAAACAAAAAGAAAAACUAAGAGAUUAUAGCAUGCUAUCAUUCAUUUGCAAAUACAUAUUCUCUGAGUGACUUCAUUCACUCAUUACAUUAGUUGAUGGGUUUCAAUUCCUGCAUCUACCUUUUGCAUGCAGCCAACCUUCCAAGUGGUUCAACCCCUCAAUGGUGACCCUUUCAUUGGAAGCCUCGAGACUCCGGUCACAUCCAGCCCGCUCAUUGCAUGGUACCUCUCCAACCUCCCCGCCUACAGGACUGCCGUGAACCCGCUCCUCCGAGGCGUCGAGGUGGGCCUCGCCCACGGAUUCCUCUUGGUGGGCCCUUUCGUCAAGGCCGGCCCUUUGAGGAACACGGAGUAUGCAGGAGCAGCAGGAUCAUUGGCCGCCGGAGGCCUGGUUGUGAUCCUGAGCAUCUGCUUGACAAUGUAUGGGAUCGCCUCAUUCAAUGAAGGAGAGCCCUCGACAGCACCGUCGCUAACCUUGACCGGGAGGAAGAAGGAGCCUGAUCAGUUGCAGACCGCAAAUGGAUGGGCCAAGUUCACCGGCGGGUUCUUCUUCGGCGGGAUCUCCGGGGUCACAUGGGCCUACUUUCUCCUCUAUGUGCUCAACCUUCCUUACUUUGUGAAGUAAAUUCAU